RNAcentral lists this ribosomal RNA (557 nucleotides) under uncultured bacterium. RNAcentral describes it as "bacterial SSU rRNA". It matches the Rfam family "Bacterial small subunit ribosomal RNA", at positions 102 to 694 of the family's 1533-position model. The record is from RNAcentral.
ACGGGUGAGUAACGCGUGGGAAUCUACCCAUCUCUACGGAAUAACGCAUGGAAACGUGUGCUAAUACCGUAUACGUCCUUCGGGAGAAAGAUUUAUCGGAGAUGGAUGAGCCCGCGUUGGAUUAGCUAGUUGGUGGGGUAAGGGCCUACCAAGGCGACGAUCCAUAGCUGGUCUGAGAGGAUGAUCAGCCACACUGGGACUGAGACACGGCCCAGACUCCUACGGGAGGCAGCAGUGGGGAAUAUUGGACAAUGGGCGCAAGCCUGAUCCAGCCAUGCCGCGUGAGUGAUGAAGGCCCUAGGGUUGUAAAGCUCUUUCACCGGUGAAGAUAAUGACGGUAACCGGAGAAGAAGCCCCGGCUAACUUCGUGCCAGCAGCCGCGGUAAUACGAAGGGGGCUAGCGUUGUUCGGAUUUACUGGGCGUAAAGCGCACGUAGGCGGACUAUUAAGUCAGGGGUGAAAUCCCGGGGCUCAACCCCGGAACUGCCUUUGAUACUGGUAGUCUUGAGUUCGAGAGAGGUGAGUGGAAUUCCGAGUGUAGAGGUGAAAUUCGUAGA